Long non-coding RNA from Drosophila albomicans, 474 nucleotides. RefSeq lists it as uncharacterized. The transcript is spliced from 3 exons. Lineage: Eukaryota; Metazoa; Arthropoda; Insecta; Diptera; Drosophilidae. The record is from RefSeq and is a predicted model, not a curated record.
UUCUUGUAUUCUAAAUCAGUUUAAAAGUGGUUAAAAUUCUAGCCAUUAAAAAGGUAAAAUUUCAAACAGAAUGCAAAUAAAAAUAAAACCUUUCAGCUAAAUAUCAGGUGACCCAAAACAUUUUGGCCUCACUAUGGCCAAGCGCACAAAGUCGACUUGCCACAACAUCAUUAUGUUUAAUACACAUAUAAAUGUGCAUAUGAAUGUGGGAUUGCUGUAAUUGUAGCCCAAAAGUUGACCGCCAAAUAAAGUUUGUUUUGUAAACGCGAGUUGCAGUCCUGUGCUAUGCAAAAUUGAAUACCUCUGCUUAAUGUCAAUAAUUUACAAAAAUUAUUAUUUUAGAAAUGUCUUCACAUGACCAAAUAUUUUGUGCUACAGUUGACAAUUUGCCCCAUAACAGUCAAUUAAAAUUCAUAAUUUAUCAAAGCGUAAUUUGAAUAUAUCAACUACUACAAAACUUUAAAAGUUAUAAAA